This 645-nucleotide ribosomal RNA is filed under the name bacterium HN1-1-35. Its description in RNAcentral is "bacterial SSU rRNA". It matches the Rfam family "Bacterial small subunit ribosomal RNA", at positions 338 to 974 of the family's 1533-position model. The record is from RNAcentral.
CCUACGGGAGGCAGCAGUAGGGAAUCUUCGGCAAUGGGCGAAAGCCUGACCGAGCAACGCCCGCGUGAGCGAUGAAGGCCUUCGGGUCGUAAAGCUCUGUUGUUAGAGAAGAACAAGUACGAGAGUAACUGCUCGUACCUUGACGGUACCUAACCAGAAAGCCACGGCUAACUACGUGCCAGCAGCCGCGGUAAUACGUAGGUGGCAAGCGUUAUCCGGAAAUUAUUGGGCGUAAAGCGCGCGCAGGCGGUCUCUUAAGUCUGAUGUGAAAGCCCACGGCUCAACCGUGGAGGGUCAUUGGAAACUGGGAGACUUGAGUGCAGGAGAGAAAAGUGGAAUUCCACGUGUAGCGGUGAAAUGCGUAGAGAUGUGGAGGAACACCAGUGGCGAAGGCGGCUUUUUGGCCUGUAACUGACGCUGAGGCGCGAAAGCGUGGGGAGCAAACAGGAUUAGAUACCCUGGUAGUCCACGCCGUAAACGAUGAGUGCUAGGUGUUGGGGGGUUCCACCCUCAGUGCUGAAGUUAACACAUUAAGCACUCCGCCUGGGGAGUACGACCGCAAGGUUGAAACUCAAAGGAAUUGACGGGGGCCCGCACAAGCAGUGGAGCAUGUGGUUUAAUUCGAAGCAACGCGAAGAACCUUAC